Molecule: long non-coding RNA, 269 nt
Organism: Hydra vulgaris (swiftwater hydra)
Lineage: Eukaryota; Metazoa; Cnidaria; Hydrozoa; Anthoathecata; Hydridae
Source: RefSeq, a predicted model, not a curated record
AUAUAUAUAUAUAUAUAAUAUGGCCCAAGCUCCAGCGUGUUUUAUAUAACAUGUUAAUUUUUAUAGGGGCUGUUGAAUGCAAAGAAGUAAACAAUGAUUAAGAUACAAAUGAUUUUGGCAGUGCACAUCCUGAUUCAAAUUGCCCAAAUGCUGCACACAGUGAAUUAUCGGUUAAAAAAAAAACUUUGGAAUUUCACCCGAUUCAAUUUAUUUGAUGAUUCAACUGAUUCAGAAUAAUUUAUUUAAAAGAAAUAUAUAAUUUUGUUUUA